Long non-coding RNA from Pan troglodytes (chimpanzee), 5191 nucleotides. RefSeq lists it as uncharacterized. The record is from RefSeq and is a predicted model, not a curated record. The transcript has 3 exons. Lineage: Eukaryota; Metazoa; Chordata; Mammalia; Primates; Hominidae.
UUUACUGUAGUUUACUCUGUGCCCACGGGAAUGAUUCAAUAUGAAGCUAGAAUUAAUUAUAGGAAUAGAUUAUGCUGGAGCCCAGCCAUCUUGAGAUGAACCAUACGACCCUUUACAGGACUCUUCUGGUCAUAGCUCCACAGUGCCACACGAUGGCAGCAUUUCUGAAAAAAGAUUUCAGACCACAAUCUGGUUCUACCAAUUUUCUUAAUUCCAGCGGGAUAGAACACUCGUGUAUUUAAUGACAGGACUAUAUACAGCUGUGGAGCUCUCCAUUUCUUGGAAUGCCAGUCAGGACACGGCAAGAAGAUGGCCAUCUGUGAACCAGAAGGAGAGCCCUCAGCAGAACUCAACCAUGCUGGCACCCGGAUCCUGGACUUCCCAGCCUCCAGACUAGGUAUUCAUCUGCCUAAAGGAGUGUUUUCUUUUUCUUUCCUUUCUUUCUUGCUUCUUUUUAAACAGAAAAUCUGCAAAUAGAAGAAUCUUCUGACAUUUAAAAGAAAAGUCCUUGGAAGAAUAAUGGGAUGAAAAAGAGAAAGCAGAGGAGGAGAGUAAAGUAUUUAUAUCUAUAUUUCAAUUCAUUCUUUUAUUUUGGUGGGGGAAGGGGCAGGAUCUGUAAAUAUGCUGCUUCAUAUCCUGGGUUUUAUCACUCUUGGGUGCAGCCAACUUUCAGUAAGCUUGGCAGAACAAUGUGGUCAGGAAGAAAGAGCUGAGAUUGACUAUACCCUAUGCCACUCGCUAUUUCUCUGUAGCAUAGACUAAAUAUAGAAGUGUCUGAGCAUCUGGUCUGGAGGUUUCCAGAGAGUGUUGCCAUAGAGGAAGUGAAGUGGCUCUAAAAGGAGCAGUGUAGAUGGAGUACAUACUAGGGACAAAUGUGAGUCAUACUCAAACAGAGAGAAGUCUAAAUUGCCUAUGGGAGCUAAGAGAGGCUGAGUCACCAUGGCCCUAGUCAAGACUAUACUAAGUGAAUCCUAAGCUAUGGUAGCCAACAACUUCAUUUUAGAAUGAAGCAGGGCAAGAAGCAUUCAAGUGGUUAGGCAACAUUAUCCCAUGCAUGUCUGAAGAUUCCAAGUCUUCCUCUUCACUAUGGUGUAAGCCAUGUUUGUCCAUUUGGUGCAUGGUAUGUAGUGGAUGGUGUAAGCCACACCUGGAUGCCAUAUUAGAGGGAGAAGGAGGGGGAGUGAGGAUCUGAGCAUUUUUAACUAAAAGAGACUGAUUUAUUUAAAUAACUAUUUUAGCUAUUAGAUAACCUUAAGUUUAAACAGAUUGAAUUUAAUUUCUGCACAUUCCCUUGCCCCUCCAUGAGGAGCUCUUGAGCAACAGAACAAUUAUAGACAGACUAAAUGUCAUUUUUUCUUUUCACCCCCAAAUUGUAGGAUGAGCUGGAAUAUACAACAUCCCUACAUAGGCCUUUGAAUUGAUGAGUAAUAUGAAAUCAACAUAGGAGAUACUUAUUGAGAGGUUGGAACAUGGAAGAAAUUAGGGUGGGUGCUGCAUGUUCUAAGCAAUAUCUGGCGAUAUUUAUUGGCAAAGGCAGUGAUCCUGAGGGGUAUGGAGGGUGGGGGUAGGUCUGUGAGGCAGAGACAUCAUAUCCAAUUAGGUCUGCACAGACAAACAGAGUGCCGGAGACUUGUAGAAGAUGGAAUGCCAGGGUGAAGAAUUUGGUUUUAUUUUGUAGAGUAUGAAGAGCUAGUGAAAGUUCACAGGAGAUUAACAAAAUAAAAAUUAAAGAUUUAGGAGGAACAAUGGUAAGAAAGAACACGUAGGAGGCUUUUGCAGUAUCCAGUAAUGAGAUGUAAUCACUUGGAUUAGGAUUACGCCAAAGAAAAACAUUACAAAGAAAAAAACCCCUUCUUCUGGUGCCCAAGCAGAAAAAGCCUUAAUAACUAAAAUGGACUGGAAUGUUAACAUGUAAAAAUGAAGAUAGGGUGAAAAAGACAAGGGCUUUAAUGUUAGACAUAUUGAUGUUAAGGGAAUAUAGAACCUGAGCUCAAAAAGCAAUAUACAGUUAGAGAUAGAGAAUUGGGUAUCACAGGCUCUUGGUGUGUCCCAGUACAAGUCCUUCCCAGUUUUCAUAGCCCAUGGUGAACUCUUCUUUCCUUGAACAUCUUACAUGCUAAUUGUUUAUUACUUUUCAGAUCCUAUUGUUUCACUUAUACAUAGUUGUAAUAUUUUCAAUAAUUUUUAACCUGAAACUAGUGUCCAUUUUUCCUGAUGCAACACCUAAUAAGGUUAUUUCCUCUUUCCUAUGAAACCCUCCCAACAUUUGAAAAAGUUUAGUGUUCCUUCGAACUCGCUGGCUGCUUUCUCUUCUCCAGGUUGACACUACAGUUCUCUUGUGUUAGGUGACUACGUUCAGACCCAUCACCUGAUUAUGAAUUCCCUUUUGUUUGUGGGGUCCCAAAUCAGACCUUGACUCUGAUGUGGCCUGAUCGACCCCAAGCACGGGGCAUCCAUCCACUUCCUUGCCUUGACCACAGCCCUAUUUUUACUAAUACAACUUAAUUUUGUGCUUUUUGACCACCACUUCAAUUUGUUGGCUCUUGUCAAGCAUGUGGACAUCUUAGAUGUGUUCAUUAAAGAUGUCAGAAUACACGAGAGCUCCCUGAUGGAGAGAAAAAGAGCAUGCAGCCAGAAGCUCAUAGUAUUUGGUCAAGUGUGUAGGGAAGGUAGCAAAGAAAAUAGAAAAACCAAAUGCAGGGAAGCCAGGAUCAUAGGGAAUAUGUUGAGUGAAACAGUAGGCAGGAAUUGCCAAAUAGUCUUUCUUUAUCCCUCAGUCCAGUGCUCACGAGAGUAGCUGUGCUAUGGAAAGUACACAUGCAUUAGAAUCAGUUGCCUCACUGCCGUUUAUGCGCUGUGUGAUUUUGGGAGCAUUAUUUUACUUCUCUGAGCCUUAGCUUUUUUAGCUGUAAAAUAAAAAUGAUAUCUACCUUUCAGUAUUUUUGGGGAGAAUUAAAUGAUUUUUAUUAAAUAAUGCAUGUAAAGCAUAUAGAACUGGGCAUAGCCCUUUAAUGAAUGAUAGUUUCUUUCCUAGAUGAUAUUAAUGAUAGUCAUGUAAUUACUGGAUACACAACUGUUUUCCCAGUCUCUGGACUUCUCUAAUAUUGGUUGUACAGGCAGAUGAAGAUGGACAAACUCUGGACCCCCCUGCUCUUGAAUUGCCCAAGUGUCAUCCUCGGGCUGUGUGUUCUGUAAGCUUGUAGCCGUCGAUGGGAUGUUAUCUGAAAUAGAUUUUGACUGGACUCUCUCUUUUUUUUCACUCCCAAACAGAAGUACUGUUCUGCUUGGAGGACUGUCUGCUUUUAUAUAUGUAUCUUAUUAACUGUUGGAAGUAGUGGGGAAAUGGUUGAAUCAGCUCACAUUUGAAUCUCAAAAUAAAAAUGGCUUUUAGAAGUGCCCUCUACUUUUAAGAAGCUAGCUAAUAUAUGGUCUGCAAAAGUGCCAAUGUGUAAUAUUUGUAAAAUAUAAUUUGAAAUUACUUAUUUGUAAAAUUAUGGCAUUAUUGUUCAUUAAUUUUUUAAUAUUGGUGGGUAUAUUCUGAAAUAAGAUUUUGCCAUAAGAAAAAAAUAGAAAUAAACUUUGUAGUAUAUCACUAAAUAAAAAGUAUUUUAAAUAUUUGACUUGAGUAAUUGAGUCUUGGAAAGUUUUACUUGGAGACAUUUAUGUUUUCCUUUGCAAUCAAGUUCAUUGUUGUUUGUUUACUCAUGACUAAGAUAACCUUUUGAGUUAAACACUAAAUCUAAACUCAGUAGAUUAUAAUAAUCUCUUCCUAAUUUUUUCUCUCCCUUGUCUGAAGUGGGAAGUUAUGUUUUAUUUUUGGUGCUUCUCUGCUUUUAAAAAAGUAACAUGUACACUAAUGAAUUGUGUGCAUUUUAUUAGAAGACUGAGUAGAAUAAUUUUAUAAACGAAAACAUGAAAUAACUUUUAACCUGUGGUAUAUGACGGCUAUUUUUGCAUUGAAGAAAAUAUCAGAAAAUAGAAAAAAACUUUUCUUACAUUUGCUUGUGUUAAAUGAUUUCUGACUGUUUGAUGGUCUAUGUACCAGUUGGCUGGCUGCUUUUCUAUGCUCUGCUUUUCUGUCUCCAUGCUUUGGUUCCUAUGAGUUUUUUCAUGGAAAACGGCCUCACCCAUUCACUUCUGUUUGCUCAAAUCCUACCCAUCCUCCAUGGCCCCGCACAAUUAUUUCCAUUAUGAACACCAGAGGCCAGGAACUAAUUUCUUUCUACUCCAAGCCCUUAAAGCAUGAUCUUUUUUUCCUUCUGGGUACUACUCACAUAGCACCUCCCAUAUUCUGUCUUGUUUUACAAUAAUUUUUGUAAGUGCCUUUUGUUUCUUUUCUAACUCUAAGAUCCUGGAGAGAAAGAAUUUGUUUUCUCCAUCAUUUUAUCUCACAUAGUAUCUUACACACCAGUUAAGAACUCCACAUAUAUUUGGCAAAUGGAUAUGUUUUAACUUAUUUACAGUUAGAUGUAGUCUUAGAGAUGUCAUCUAAAGGAUAUCGAUGGCAGAAGAAAAUAACAUUCUGAAGGGAAACUAUUACUUCCAUGGGAAAUAAAACCAGAUUUGGAAAAAGUAAAUAGCCCUUUUGCUGAUGGCAUUUCAAGCUAUUUCCAGCCCUUAGGCCGAUGAAUCUACAAGAAGGGACUGAGUGAAAAGAAUUAUUGUCAUUGUAGUGACAAGGGCCUCAUUCUUUUACUUCUGAGCAACCCAACACAGAUGGAGUUAUCCGUAGAAUGAAUUUAACAGACAGUAAAAUGUGUCACUCAUUAGGCCAAAAUGGUUUCUCCUCUUAGCCGUCCCCUGCUGAGAUCCCCACCAUCAGAGCAUAUGGUAGAAUAUGUCAAGAAAACUUUCUUAUAAAACACCAAAUGUUACUCAGAAGCAGUAACACAGCAGUCCAUGGGCACCUGGGGUCCAUGAGUAUCACACCUGCAGCCACAGGUCCUGAAGCAGAGCGAGAUGUGGGCCGAGGCAUGGGAUGGGGAUCAGGAAGAUUCUGGGACCCAGAGUUUUGUAGUAGAGAGGCUUGAGGAGCCUGGGGAGUGAGGGAAGGGACAAAAGUGCCAGCCAUAAGACAGAAACCGCAGAGCAAGCAAAAGUAAACUUUGCCUCCCCUACAUUUUCCUCUAGGGCUAGUCCAGAGUUUAGUCAUGCUAAGAAUGGUCAUUCAGAGAUUCAGCUUACCUUUACA